AUGCAUUUCCAAAUAGGUGUUUAAAUUUUCACAUUUUGUGAACUGCGUGAGAUUCCCAUGAAUUGUCUUUUAUCAGUCGAAGUUGCGCUCUUUAUAUGAAAACCAAAGAAAAAAAGAAAAAAAGAGAGAGAAUACGGAGAAAGCUAAUCCUCUCCUUUUUUUUUUCUCUCUUUAAAAAAUGAAUUUUUGCUAAAACAGGUAUGUGAUCAAGUGAUUGUGAUGUGGUUUUCAUCAUCUUUGAAUGAUAUGUUGUGCAAUUAUCAAUAGCUAUCAGCUAAGUUUUUUUUGCUCUUUCAUUGGGAGAGUUUGGAGAGCGAGAAGAGGACCCCAUCAUCAUCUAGCAUGGGGCAUUUUGGAUUGACCUAAGGUGGCAACCAUCAGAAACCAUGUUCCUAGUGGAUUAGUGGUUCAUUUUAUAUCAGAUUGAAUGCUUCUUCUUGAAAGUGUUAUGCAGCUUGGUAUGCUCAUGUUCCUGGGUUGAAAGUUCUGACUCCAUACUCAUCAGAAGACGCUCGAGGCCUUUGAAAAGCUACUAUUAGAGAUCCUGAUCCUGUAGUUUUUCUUGAAAAUGAGUUGUUGAUGCUCCAAAUAUGGAGAGUCAUUCCCUAUUUCAAUGGAAGUUCUUGAUUCCAGUUUCUGCCUUCCAAUAGGAAAAGCUAAGAUAGAACAAGAAGGAAAAGAUGUGACCAUUACAGCUUUCUCAAAGAUGGUGGGUUAUGCCCUCCAAGUGCGUGUGCUCUUUCUUUUAAGCUAUGGUGCCAAUGACUAGUAUGUGAUCAAUAGGUUUAUUCACAAGUUGCUUGUGUAUGCUGCACUCUUUUUGGAAUUUGGUUGGCGCUUAUCCUAGUUGAACUAUAGUAAGCUUUAGGCAGGGAAAAACUAGGUUAUUUACUAAGGGUUGCUUCCCAACCUGACACUUAAGAGCAAAGGCCUGACCCAAGCUUGGCAUGGGCGUAGCACAAGCCGGCCAAAGCAUUUUCUCUUCAGAUCUAGGAGCUAGAUGAUGAAGUCUUAAUGGAGAAUCGGAGUUAGAAAGUGCUUGGAGUCACCAUGUCAGAGUAAGGUUGUAAUGGUUAUUCUCAAAGUUGUGUUCCGGCGAACCUGCUAGCAAUUCUGGAUGGUUUUGGGUCUGAUCUUAUAACUUGCUCUAUUUGAUCAUCAUCCUCUGCUCCUAUUAUACUUACAACUGGCGAUCUGUUGUAUUUUGAAACUUGUUUGUUUAGAAAUGUGA
Molecule: long non-coding RNA, 1231 nt
Organism: Magnolia sinica
Lineage: Eukaryota; Viridiplantae; Streptophyta; Magnoliopsida; Magnoliales; Magnoliaceae
Exons: 4
Source: RefSeq, a predicted model, not a curated record